GAAUUGAUCUAAACAAACACUACAAGAAAAAUGGGAUUUAACGGCGUUAAUUUAGCGACAUUUUUAUAAAUGUCACUUUUUCUACUAUUUAGCGACGUUUUAUAAACGUCGCGUUUUGAUUUAAUUAAAACGGUACCGUUUGACAAUACAAGUCGCUUUUAAACGCCUUCAAAUGUCUCACCAUGUUAUCCCACUCCCACUCUCUCUCUCACAGCUCUGUGAGAAUUAGAACCUCUCUCUUUCUUCAAACCUUCAUUAUCGAUCCCUCAAAUCUCUCAUUCACUCGCUCACUCUCUCUUUCUCUCUAAAACCCUUCGGUCUCAGAUAUUACGAUUCAACCUUCUUCAGCUGGUGAUUUCGAUUUCGAAGUUCUCUGUCACGAUUUCAAAGCUCCACUGCCACCACCAUCUGCAUCGUCUACAAAGGGUUUGGAUCAACUCUUUUCUUGCUUGACUAUGUUGUGAGAUCUGAGUUCGAACAGUGAAGGAAGCCCUAGAUUGUUGUGUUUUGGGGGUUCUUCUUGUUCCUUGAUGGAAAUAUCGUCUAUACCGCUACAUCUAAACCCAGCUACAGUUAUUGAGACUAGAUCAUCUCUUUUUCCCCCUCAAGAAGGUUUGCACAAGCUCUCUCUAUUGAACAUGGAAGGUUGCCCUGUUACUACAGCAUGCUUGGGCUCUCUUGUAGGUUGAGAAACUGAUAAAGGAGCUGCCUAGUAUGCUCGCUGAUUUGUCCAAUGGAGAUCUAAAUUCUGCAGAAAAGAAUCAUUUAAGCAAUGGAGAUCUAAGUAUUGGUUUUAAUAACGGAGACAUAUAUUAUUAUUAUUUUUUAAUAUCUAUAUGAUUAUAUCUAUUUAUUUGAUCACUGGAAGGUUUGCAAUUUUUCGAGGAGUCAUAUAAGCUGCAACUGUUCUGCAGAUUUUGCCAUUUCGGUUUCAUGAUCUUCACAUUGGUUGAUUGCUAAAUCAAGUUUUGUUUUCCAAAGGUUGUCGAUAAGUUUUUCCCUUUUAUUCCCCAUCAUAUUUACCAUAAAGUUGACAGCUUGAAACUCUUCUGUUAGGAGGGAAGCAAAUUUAGAAUUUCAAAUUAACCUUUCAAUUUUUCAAUCUUUCAGGCACGUUUGCAGUUUUGCCUUUGUGUAAUGGAACAACUUGCACAAGCCAAUCUUCGAACACACACUUAAAAAUAACAAACCUAACCUAGUUACUCUUACAACCAAGCCCAAAAUGCUACACAUUGAGUAAACUCCGGUGAAUGUCCUUUGUUCGAUUCUUCUUCUUCAUCGUUUUUAUUCUUCAUUUCUUCUUUGAUUCUUCUUGGUUUUUUACAUUUUUUUUUUCUUCUUUU
Molecule: non-coding RNA, 1343 nt
Organism: Camellia sinensis
Lineage: Eukaryota; Viridiplantae; Streptophyta; Magnoliopsida; Ericales; Theaceae
Source: RefSeq, a predicted model, not a curated record